Molecule: ribosomal RNA, 433 nt
Filed under: uncultured bacterium
Lineage: Bacteria
Description: partial 16S ribosomal RNA
Rfam family: Bacterial small subunit ribosomal RNA
Source: RNAcentral
AACGAACGCUGGCGGCAUGCCUAACACAUGCAAGUCGAACGAGACCUUCGGGUCUAGUGGCGCACGGGUGCGUAACGCGUGGGAACCUGCCCUUAGGUUCGGAAUAACUCCCCGAAAGGGGUGCUAAUACCGGAUAAUGUCUUCGGACCAAAGAUUUAUCGCCUUUGGAUGGGCCCGCGUUGGAUUAGCUAGUUGGUAGGGUAAAAGCCUACCAAGGCGACGAUCCAUAGCUGGUCUGAGAGGAUGAUCAGCCACACUGGGACUGAGACACGGCCCAGACUCAACGGGGGAGAAGAGGGGGGGAAAAUGGAAAAGGGGGAGAAAGAUGAAAAAAGAAAGGCGGGGGGAGGAAAAAGGGCGUGGGGGUUGAAAAGUUUUUUUCCAGGGGAGGAAAAGGAGAGAACGGGGAAAAAAAGCCCCGACAAACUCGGUC